Molecule: ribosomal RNA, 301 nt
Filed under: uncultured bacterium
Lineage: Bacteria
Description: partial 16S ribosomal RNA
Rfam family: Bacterial small subunit ribosomal RNA
Source: RNAcentral
CAGUAGCCGCGGUAAUACGGAGGGGGCUAGCGUUGUUCGGAAUUACUGGGCGUAAAGCGCACGUAGGCGGCUUGGUAAGUUAGAGGUGAAAGCCUGGAGCUCAACUCCAGAAUUGCCUUUAAGACUGCCGAGCUAGCAGGUGAGAGAGGUAAGUGGAAUUCCAAGUGUAGAGGUGAAAUUCGUAGAUAUUCGGAAGAACACCAGUGGCGAAGGCGGCUUACUGGCUCAUACUGGACGCUGAGGUGCGAAAGCGUGGGGAGCAAACAGGAUUAGAUACCCCCGUAGUCCCUGUCUCUUAUAC